RNAcentral lists this transfer RNA (86 nucleotides) under Ostreococcus lucimarinus CCE9901. Its description in RNAcentral is "Selenocysteine transfer RNA". It matches the Rfam family "Selenocysteine transfer RNA". Lineage: Eukaryota; Viridiplantae; Chlorophyta; Mamiellophyceae; Mamiellales; Bathycoccaceae. The record is from Rfam by way of RNAcentral.
GCCAGGGUGAGCUUCGCUGGCGCGGAGUGCGGCCUUCAAAGCCGUAGCGGCUUAGCGGCCGAGUCGUUCGAUUCGACCUCACUGGC